UAACCCUGGGAAACUGGGGCUAAUACCGGAUAGGCAAUUAUUCCUGCAAUGGUUUUUUGUUUAAAUGUUUUUUCGCCUAAGGAUGGGUCUGCGGCCGAUUAGGUAGUUGGUUAGGUAAUGGCUUACCAAGCCGUUGAUCGGUACGGGUUGUGAGAGCAAGAGCCCGGAGAUGGAACCUGAGACAAGGUUCCAGGCCCUACGGGGUGCAGCAGGCGCGAAACCUCCGCAAUGUGAGAAAUCGCGACGGGGGGAUCCCAAGUGCCAUUCUUAACGGGAUGGCUUUUCAUUAUUGUAAAGAGCUUUUGGAAUAAGAGCUGGGCAAGACCGGUGCCAGCCGCCGCGGUAACACCGGCAGCUCUAGUGGUAACAAUUUUUAUUGGGCCUAAAGCGUCCGUAGCCGGUUUAAUAAGUCUCUGGUGAAAUCCUGUAGCUUAACUGUGGGAAUUGCUGGAGAUACUAUUAGACUUGAGACCGGGAGAGGUUAGAGGUACUCCCAGGGUAGAGGUGAAAUUCUGUAAUCCUGGGAGGACCGCCUGUUGCGAAGGCGUCUAACUGGAACGGUUCUGACGGUGAGGGACGAAAGUUAGGGGCGCGAACCGGAUUAGAUACCCGGGUAGUCCUAACUGUAAACGAUGCGGACUUGGUGUUGGGGUGGCUUUGAGCUGCUCCAGUGCCGAAGGGAAGCUGUUAAGUCCGCCGCCUGGGAAGUACGGUCGCAAGACUGAAACUUAA
This 732-nucleotide ribosomal RNA is filed under the name uncultured archaeon. Its description in RNAcentral is "bacterial SSU rRNA". It matches the Rfam family "Archaeal small subunit ribosomal RNA", at positions 127 to 859 of the family's 1478-position model. The record is from RNAcentral.